RNAcentral lists this ribosomal RNA (433 nucleotides) under uncultured bacterium. Its description in RNAcentral is "partial 16S ribosomal RNA". It matches the Rfam family "Bacterial small subunit ribosomal RNA", at positions 29 to 507 of the family's 1533-position model. The record is from RNAcentral.
AACGAACGCUGGCGGCAUGCCUAACACAUGCAAGUCGAGCGAGACCUUCGGGUCUAGUGGCGCACGGGUGCGUAACGCGUGGGAACCUUCCCUUAGGUUCGGAAUAACUCCCCGACAGGGGUGCUAAUACCGGAUAAUGUCUUCGGACCAAAGAUUUAUCGCACUUGGAUGGGCCCGAGUUGGAUUAGCUAUUUGUUAGGGUAAAAGCCUACCAAGGCGACGAUCCGUAGCUGGUCUGAGAGGAUGAUCAGCCACACUGGGACUGAGACGCGGCCCAGACUCCUACGGGAGGCAGCAGAGGGUAAUAGUGGACAGUGGGCGAAGGCAUGAUCCAGCAAUGCCGCGUGAGUGAUGAAGGCCUUAGGGUAGUAAAGUGCUUUUACCCGGGAUGAUAAUGACAGUACCGGAAGAAUAAGCCCCGGCUAACUACGUG